UAGUCAUAUGCUUGUCUCAAAGAUUAAGCCAUGCAUGUCUAAGUAUAAAUGGAUUAUACAGUGAAACUGCGAAUGGCUCAUUAAAUCAGUUAUAGUUUAUUUGAUAAUACCUUUUACUUGGAUAACCGUAAUAAUUUUAGAGCUAAUACAUGCGUGAAAGUGCGACUUUUGUGGAAGCACUGUAUUUAUUAGAUACAAAACCAAUCGAGCUUGCUCGUUACCUUGGUGAUUCAUAAUAACUAAACGAAUCGUAUGACUUUAUGUCGACGAUGAUUCAUUCAAAUUUCUGCCCUAUCAACUUUCGAUGGUAAGGUAUUGGCUUACCAUGGUUACAACGGGUGACGGAGAAUAGGGUUCGAUUCCGGAGAGGGAGCCUGAGAAACGGCUACCACUUCUACGGAGGGCAGCAGGCGCGCAAAUUACCCAAUCCUGACUCAGGGAGGUAGUGACGAAUAAUAACGAUACGUGACUUCGGUCUAGUAAUUGGAAUGAGUACAAUUUAAACCCCUUAAUGAAUUCCAUUGA
This 525-nucleotide ribosomal RNA is filed under the name uncultured eukaryote. RNAcentral's name for it is "SSU rRNA". It matches the Rfam family "Eukaryotic small subunit ribosomal RNA", at positions 21 to 551 of the family's 1831-position model. The record is from RNAcentral.